Non-coding RNA from Nylanderia fulva, 371 nucleotides. The record is from RefSeq and is a predicted model, not a curated record. NCBI's taxonomy places the organism in Eukaryota, Metazoa, Arthropoda, Insecta, Hymenoptera, Formicidae.
AAGACACGUCCAGAAAAUCAGUCAGUCGUUCGUGGUCUUUCGAACCACGUCGCUGUAGAUAUAAUACUUUUAAUAAAGUGUGUGAAUAUAUUAUAUUCUUCCCACAUUGCAUACUUCUAAAGCAUUAAUUUGCUGCAGUUUAUUUUUAAAACGAUAUAUAGUUUUCCAAUUACCAUUCUGUUCCGAAAUAUUCGUGUGUUUUGCAGACCUAAAAUAAAUUAUUCGACACGAUGAUAUUUCUACUAUUAAUUAGCGGAAUAAUGUAUAUCGUUGGGACGGCUUCUACUCUUAAUCAAUCGUCUUUAUGCUAUCAACCAUCAGAAUAUAUAAAACCAAUCCAUUACGAUAUCAAGCAUAUAUCAAAUAUUGAA